Cavia porcellus (domestic guinea pig) is the source of this 105-nucleotide small nuclear RNA. NCBI's taxonomy places the organism in Eukaryota, Metazoa, Chordata, Mammalia, Rodentia, Caviidae. The record is from Ensembl.
GUACUUGCUUUUGCAGCACAUAUACUAAAUGGAAUGAUACAGAGAUGAUUAGCAUGGCUCCUGUGCAAGCAUGACAUGCACAUUCAUGAAGUGUUCCAUAUUUUU